UGGGGAAUAUUGCACAAUGGGCGAAAGCCUGAUGCAGCAACGCCGCGUGAGUGAUGAAGGCCUUCGGGUUGUAAAGCUCUGUCUUCUGGGACGAUAAUGACGGUACCAGAGGAGGAAGCCACGGCUAACUACGUACCAGCAGCCGCGGUAAUACGGAGGGUGCGAGCGUUAUCCGGAUUUACUGGGUUUAAAGGGUGCGUAGGUGGGCUUAUAAGUCAGUGGUGAAAUCUCCGGGCUUAACUUGGAAACUGCCGUUGAUACUAUACGUCUUGAAUUAUCUGGAGGUAAGCGGAAUAUGUCAUGUAGCGGUGAAAUGCGUAGAUAUGACAUAGAACACCAAUUGCGAAGGCAGCUUACUAGAUAUAAAUUGACGCUGAGGCACGAAAGCGUGGGGAUCAAACA
This 402-nucleotide ribosomal RNA is filed under the name uncultured bacterium. Its description in RNAcentral is "bacterial SSU rRNA". It matches the Rfam family "Bacterial small subunit ribosomal RNA", at positions 355 to 774 of the family's 1533-position model. The record is from RNAcentral.